This 325-nucleotide unclassified non-coding RNA is filed under the name Gliophorus sp. RNAcentral's name for it is "partial contains 5.8S ribosomal RNA, internal transcribed spacer 2, and large subunit ribosomal RNA". The stretch from base 1 to 71 matches the Rfam family "5.8S ribosomal RNA", at positions 84 to 154 of the family's 154-position model. Lineage: Eukaryota; Fungi; Basidiomycota; Agaricomycetes; Agaricales; Hygrophoraceae. The record is from RNAcentral.
GUGAGUCAUCGAAUCUUUGAACGCACCUUGCGCUCCUUGGUAUUCCGAGGAGCAUGCCUGUUUGAGUGUCGUGAAAUUCCUCAACUUUGCCAACCUUGGCAAGGCUUGGACUUUGGAGUGUGCCGGACUUUGCAUACAAGGUCGGCUCCUCUGAAAUGUAUCAGCAAGACCUGUAGCAGGGUUGAAGCUUUGGUUUGAUAAUUCCUCUUUGGUCUUCAGCCAUAGCUGUCUGCGCUCGUAUUUGCUUGCUCCCUCCUUUUUGACACUCUGACCUCAAAUCAGGUAGGACUACCCGCUGAACUUAAGCAUAUCAAUAAGCGGAGGA